This 400-nucleotide long non-coding RNA is filed under the name Gallus gallus (chicken). Its description in RNAcentral is "long non-coding RNA NONGGAT001513". The record is from RNAcentral. Lineage: Eukaryota; Metazoa; Chordata; Aves; Galliformes; Phasianidae.
GUCAGCUCCAGCAGGGCACUGAGAAUUGAGUGCAGAAGCUUUGGCUCCAGAUACAAGCACUCCUGACACUUGAGGAGAAGGCGGCUCUGGCUUCAGUCUGCAGCAAUAACUCAUUUCCCUGUUUAUGCAGCCCCUAAGACAGUGGUGCAGUGGGACCUUGCAGCCAACGCAGCGUCAGCACAGGACUCCCCAGGGCACGGAAACAGCUGUGGCAAGGGAGGGCAGAGAGCACCUCCAUCCCUGCGCUGUGCCAUGGGCUGUGCUGCAGGCAGCAACGCGAGCAGAGUGCUCCAAAUCCAGCUGUAUGAGUAAGAAAAGGAGAAGAAGUAACCAAAGUGGCAGGGGGCAGCCACUUUGACAGCAGGCCGGGGCAUAAGCCAGCCUAAUAAAGUGAGAUUAU